AUUGAACGCUGGCGGCAGGCUUAACACAUGCAAGUCGAGCGGUAACAGAGAGAAGCUUGCUUCUCUGCUGACGAGCGGCGGACGGGUGAGUAAUGCCUAGGAAUCUGCCUAGUAGUGGGGGAUAACUUGCCGAAAGGUAAGCUAAUACCGCAUACGUCCUACGGGAGAAAGGAGGGGACCUUCGGGCAUUUCGCCAUUAGAUGAGCUUAGGUCGGAUUAUUUAGUUGGUGAGGUAAUGGCUCACCAAGACCGCGAUCCGUAACUGGUCUGAGGGGAUGAUCAGUCACACUGGAGCUGAGACACGGUCCAGACUCCUACGGGAGGCAGCAGUGGGGAAUAUUGGACAAUGGGGGGAACCCUGAUCCAGCCAUGCCGCGUGUGUGAAGAAGGUCUUAGGAUUGUAAAGCACUUUAAGUUGGGAGGAAGAGCAGUUAACUAAUAUUUGACUGUUUUGACGUUACCGACAGAAUAAGCACCGGCUAACUUCGUGCCAGCCGCCGCCGUAA
This 506-nucleotide ribosomal RNA is filed under the name uncultured bacterium. RNAcentral describes it as "partial 16S ribosomal RNA". It matches the Rfam family "Bacterial small subunit ribosomal RNA", at positions 30 to 523 of the family's 1533-position model. The record is from RNAcentral.